UUGGGAAUAUGAGGGCAAAGGUAAUUUGGUUGAGAGCAAUUGUGUUGUGAUAAUAUGCAUUAUUUUUAGAUGGAGAACAGGAGGCAAGAUCAAUUCAAACCCAAAGAACUCUAUGCAAGAAGACUCCAAUAAACUCUGGGAACUGGAAGCACAGCAACCAGUGGCACUGUGUCCUGUUCAAGCAAAACUGUUCCAAGAGAAGGCAGACCAACUGGAAAGAGUCCAGAGCAAAGCAGAGAAAAUGGUCAGUUGUCUUGGGAAAAAAGAAAAGUCACGAGAAAGAGAGAUUGAAAGAAUUGGGGUUACUCAGUUUAAAAAACAGAAGGACAACUAGACACAUGAGAACUAUCAUCUACACAAGUUACCUCUAGGGAGGAUUCCAAUGGAGUCUGCUAGAGAAGUCUUCUUAUCUGCUGAAGCCUGCCCUUCUGUUAAGCUACUCCACCAGCUGCUAACAAGACACAUAACUCAUUUGCCUCAGGGUCUACUUAUUAUGAUCAGAGAUGAAAGACACAGAACUGAGUGAAAUGAGAUGUGGGCAGAAAAGAUGGAGACACACCUUGUUAGAGGGCUGCAGAAUCAGGUUGCUUCAUCUAACAAUUUUUUCAUGUGCUCAUUCUUUGUAUUAUUCAAAAUUCCAGAUCAUAAUAAAGUGUUUAAUAAAGUAUCCUCACUUGUCAGAAAUGAUUAAAUUCCUUUUGCCUGCAGUCCACCAAAGAUCCAAUUCUGUCAAAUACAGACAUUUUUGGCCAAAGAACUGUAUCAUAUAGAUGAUCAGCUGUCCUGGUUUGGGGCAAAUUUGGGAGGAAACUCAAAGAAAAUCUCAUAGAGGGAGGUUGGUUGCA
Long non-coding RNA from Motacilla alba alba, 845 nucleotides. RefSeq lists it as uncharacterized. The record is from RefSeq and is a predicted model, not a curated record. The transcript has 3 exons. Lineage: Eukaryota; Metazoa; Chordata; Aves; Passeriformes; Motacillidae.